AAAAGCCUCUCAGGGAGAUACGAAUUCCCUUGGUAUUAGAGAUGAAGCAAACCAUGAUUCAGAAAAGAUAGGAGGGCAAAAAGGUUUGCUUUCUGAAGAAGAUAUUGAAGAAUUGAUAUUUGGAGGCUCUGGGAGUGUUGAGAAUAUCAUAGGUGAAUUGCAGAAAAGUUCAGCCUCCUCUCCUUUUCCAGUGGCUGAUGAUUUCCAUGAUCAUCAA
RNAcentral lists this unclassified non-coding RNA (217 nucleotides) under Hevea brasiliensis (rubber tree). The record is from RNAcentral. Lineage: Eukaryota; Viridiplantae; Streptophyta; Magnoliopsida; Malpighiales; Euphorbiaceae.